Schistosoma haematobium is the source of this 48-nucleotide non-coding RNA. NCBI's taxonomy places the organism in Eukaryota, Metazoa, Platyhelminthes, Trematoda, Strigeidida, Schistosomatidae. The record is from Rfam.
AUCCAGCUGACGAGUCCCAAAUAGGACGAAACGUGCUUUGUCCUGGGU